RNAcentral lists this ribosomal RNA (707 nucleotides) under uncultured bacterium. RNAcentral describes it as "bacterial SSU rRNA". It matches the Rfam family "Bacterial small subunit ribosomal RNA", at positions 111 to 803 of the family's 1533-position model. The record is from RNAcentral.
UAACACGUAGGGAACCUGCCCGCGCACCGGGAAUACGCUCUGGAAACGGAGAACAAAUCCCGAUGUACAGGAAGGAGGCAUCUUCUUUCUGUGAAACAUCCUGUAAGGGAUGGGGCGCGGAUGGACCUGCGGUGCAUUAGUUAGUUGGCGAGGGUAAAGGCCCACCAAGACGAUGAUGCAUAGCCGGCCUGAGAGGGCGGACGGCCACAUUGGGACUGAGACACGGCCCAGACUCCUGCGGGAGGCAGCAGUAGGGAAUUUUCGUCAAUGGGCGCAAGCCUGAACGAGCGAUGCCGCGUGAGUGAAGAAGGCCUUCGGGUCGUAAAGCUCUGUUGCGGGGGAAAAAAGGCAACUACAGGAAAUGGUAGAUGACAGAUGGUGCCCCGCCAGAAAGUCACGGCUAACUACGUGCCAGCAGCCGCGGUAAUACGUAGGUGGCGAGCGUUAUCCGGAAUGAUUGGGCGUAAAGGGUGCGCAGGCGGUCCUGCAAGUCUGGAGUGAAACGUAUGAGCUCAACUCAUGCAUGGCUCUGGAAACUGGAGGACUGGAGAGCAGGAGAGGGCGGUGGAACUCCAUGUGUAGCGGUAAAAUGCGUAGAUAUAUGGAAGAACACCAGUGGCGAAGGCGGCCGCCUGGCCUGUUGCUGACGCUGAGGCACGAAAGCGUGGGGAGCAAAUAGGAUUAGAUACCCUAGUAGUCCACGCCGU